AGGUUAGGUCCGUACUGUCGAUCAGCAUUUCACGUUGACCUGAUAAAAAUAUUUCACUUGAAGUAUUCAUCGUCAUGUUAAUUCGUUUAUAAAGAUUUUUGAUUAGAGAUUUGUCAUAGAACAGUGUUUUGCACAACAACAUUGGUGAAACGCGAAGAGAAAUGUACCUGUAUGUUCGCUCCUUUACGCCGUUUUUCGGAUGGGUAAAGCUAGGUAGUACAUAGAUAGUACAUAUGUGAAGGGUCCCCGGCCAAUGACACUGCCAGCUCAAUGCUUUUGCGAUUGUCCAUUGAAUUGAGAUUAUGCGAAUUCAACCAAGAUCCAGAAUAUUUCUACCUUUCACAAAUUCGAUAUAGUUUAGAAAGCUGGUGUCGUGUAAAAUUAUUAAGGAAAAUACGCUGUACCAUAUAAUAGUAUAUCAGAAUGCUAUAGACACUGAUAACAUUGGAGAACUUUAUGGCAUAAUGUGUAUUGUGUAUGUCGAGUAUUGCUACUUUAUGUCUUCGAUUGUGGCAUUAUUAAUUGGAGAAUUCAUUGCUGAUAUCCUGGUAUUAGUCACAACAUUUGACGUGGAUUGAAUAGCAGAGCAAAUUAUAUAUACGUGUCACGAGUAGUUGUCCUGCCCAUCAUUUUUCAUCGAAAUCAAUUUAAAUUUUCCGAGACACGAGGAUUUCUAUUUCAUAUUCGCAGAAAUUCAUAUAUUGCAAGGCAGAACAGGUGUUCAAGAAAUUCUCUGUACUGCUGUUCCUAUAAAGAAUACCCGUGGGAAGUCUCGAUAAUAAAAGAAUAGUGAUAAAAGAAUAACAAUAAGGAGAUAAAGGAAAUAGAGCAACAGAAGGAGAGACGGAGAGAUGAAACACUCAGCGUCCGGAUCAUAGGUACACAGUGAGAAAAGUGCUGCUCACCUAAAGGGUUUCAUCGUCUCCUUUUAUUGCACGGCUCAUUGUCGGUUUUGUGUCCACUCGUCGUUCUCGUUGUCUUCAGUAAAAGUGAAUACCUAUUGGGCAUUAUACAGCAGAGGUUUCAUUAGUCAUCUUCUUCUAUGUAUCAUUCUGUGAGAAAGGGGAAUAGAAAUAAAAAGAGAAGUCGCUCUUUUAAAGUGUUGUUCGCUUUUUCCCGCUACACCGUUUCGCGUUUAUACAGCCAAAGCAGAAAGUAAUGUUAAUCAGACCAAGUGCAUAUCGGG
This is a long non-coding RNA of Venturia canescens, 1186 nucleotides long. RefSeq lists it as uncharacterized. The transcript has 5 exons. The record is from RefSeq and is a predicted model, not a curated record. Lineage: Eukaryota; Metazoa; Arthropoda; Insecta; Hymenoptera; Ichneumonidae.